GGGUGAGUAACGCGUGAGGAACCUGCCUCAAAGAGGGGGACAACAGUUGGAAACGACUGCUAAUACCGCAUAAGCCCACAGGUCGGCAUCGACCAGAGGGAAAAGGAGCAAUCCGCUUUGAGAUGGCCUCGCGUCCGAUUAGCUAGUUGGUGAGGUAAUGGCCCACCAAGGCGACGAUCGGUAGCCGGACUGAGAGGUUGAACGGCCACAUUGGGACUGAGACACGGCCCAGACUCCUACGGGAGGCAGCAGUGGGGAAUAUUGCACAAUGGGGGAAACCCUGAUGCAGCGACGCCGCGUGGAGGAAGAAGGUCUUCGGAUUGUAAACUCCUGUUGUUGAGGAAGAUAAUGACGGUACUCAACAAGGAAGUGACGGCUAACUACGUGCCAGCAGCCGCGGUAAAACGUAGGUCACAAGCGUUGUCCGGAAUUACUGGGUGUAAAGGGAGCGCAGGCGGGAAGACAAGUUGGAAGUGAAAUCUAUGGGCUCAACCCAUAAACUGCUUUCAAAACUGUUUUUCUUGAGUAGUGCAGAGGUAGGCGGAAUUCCCGGUGUAGCGGUGGAAUGCGUAGAUAUCGGGAGGAACACCAGUGGCGAAGGCGGCCUACUGGGCACCAACUGACGCUGAGGCUCGAAAGUGUGGGUAGCAAACAGGAUUAGAUACCCUGGUAGUCCACACCGUAAACGAUGAUUACUAGGUGUUGGAGGAUU
This 712-nucleotide ribosomal RNA is filed under the name uncultured bacterium. Its description in RNAcentral is "bacterial SSU rRNA". It matches the Rfam family "Bacterial small subunit ribosomal RNA", at positions 104 to 832 of the family's 1533-position model. The record is from RNAcentral.